CUGCUGACUGGAAGGGGUAGUGUCUGGUAGGAGUUAAAGGGGCACUAUAGUAACCAAAACAACUUUAGCUUAAUGAAGCAGUUUUGGUGUAAAGUGCAUCAUGCCCCUCCAGUCUCGCUGCUCAAUUCUCUGCCAUUUCGGGGUUAAAUCACUUUGUUAAUGCAGGCUAGGCACAGCCCAUCUAAACACUUCCUCUAAAGAGUCAUGUUU
This is a non-coding RNA of Pelobates cultripes (western spadefoot toad), 210 nucleotides long. NCBI's taxonomy places the organism in Eukaryota, Metazoa, Chordata, Amphibia, Anura, Pelobatidae. The record is from the annotation of a GenBank genome assembly.